AUUGAACGCUGGCGGCAUGCUUUACACAUGCAAGUCGAACGGGGUGAGGGGGGCAACUCCUCAUUCAGUGGCGAACGGGUGAGUAAUGCAUCGGAACGUGUCCCGUAGUGGGGGAUAACCCAGCGAAAGCUGGGCUAAUACCGCAUAUGCUCUACGGAGGAAAGUGGGGGGACCGCAAGGCCUCACGCUAUGGGAGCGGCCGAUGUCCGAUUAGCUAGUUGGUGGGGUAAUGGCCCACCAAGGCGACGAUCGGUAGCUGGUCUGAGAGGAUGAUCAGCCACACUGGGACUGAGACACGGCCCAGACUCCUACGGGAGGCAG
This 321-nucleotide ribosomal RNA is filed under the name uncultured Pseudomonadota bacterium. RNAcentral's name for it is "bacterial SSU rRNA". It matches the Rfam family "Bacterial small subunit ribosomal RNA", at positions 30 to 351 of the family's 1533-position model. The record is from RNAcentral. Lineage: Bacteria; Pseudomonadati; Pseudomonadota.